UAAGGAAUAUUGGUCAAUGGACGCAAGUCUGAACCAGCCAUGCCGCGUGAAGGAUGAAGGUCCUCUGGAUUGUAAACUUCUUUUAUCUGGGACGAAAACGGGAUUUUUAUCUCAAUUGACGGUACCAGAGGAAUAAGCACCGGCUAACUCCGUGCCAGCAGCCGCGGUAAUACGGAGGGUGCGAGCGUUAUCCGGAUUUACUGGGGUUAAAGGGUGCGUAGGUGGGCUUAUAAGUCAGUGGUGAAAUCUCCGAGCUUAACUUGGAAACUGCCGUUGAUACUAUAGGUCUUGAAUUAUCUGGAGGUAAGCGGAAUAUGUCAUGUAGCGGUGAAAUGCUUAGAUAUGACAUAGAACACCAAUUGCGAAGGCAGCUUACUACAUAUAAAUUGACACUGAGGCACGAAAGCGUGGGGAUCAAACA
RNAcentral lists this ribosomal RNA (421 nucleotides) under uncultured bacterium. RNAcentral's name for it is "bacterial SSU rRNA". It matches the Rfam family "Bacterial small subunit ribosomal RNA", at positions 355 to 774 of the family's 1533-position model. The record is from RNAcentral.